Syngnathoides biaculeatus (alligator pipefish) is the source of this 2379-nucleotide long non-coding RNA. RefSeq lists it as uncharacterized. The transcript is spliced from 3 exons. NCBI's taxonomy places the organism in Eukaryota, Metazoa, Chordata, Actinopteri, Syngnathiformes, Syngnathidae. The record is from RefSeq and is a predicted model, not a curated record.
UGUAGGAAAAAUAGUUGGCACAGCAACUGGUUUCAGCUUCUGUAUCCAAUGCUUUCUGCAAAGCCUUUCUAUAUACAGUAUCAGCUUUAUAAUCAGUUCAAAUUGGCAGAUGUAGUUCGUAAAGGGGUUAUAGAGUUAUCAAGAACAUGUCAACAUCUCUGUCCUCUGACAUUUAAAGUAAAAGAUCCAAUGGAAGUUCUGAUUCUCAUGGUCUGUGUUUUGGUUUAGAUUGUUUUGUGUUUUGCUUCAUGUUUUCCUGUUUCCCAUGGUUUACAUGUCUGUUUGUUUUGUGAGCUCAUUUAGGUAUUGCGCCCAGCUGUUUUCACUAACCUUCUACCUUGUGUCAACCACUUAGCUCCCUCCAGCCAUUUGGGUCUUAUCCAGGUUUUCCUCUGUGUCCCGUCAAUUUGUGUGUAUUUAGUUCCCUGGUUUUGUUCAGUUCUUGUCAGUUUAUUGUCAGUCAGUUAGUGUCACAUGUUGAUGUCAUCAGUUCUAUUACAACUAUGAGAGAGUGAACUGACCCAAGGAAGACCCAACGCAGAUGGAGGAAGUGACUCCAGAACCCAUCCCUGAUCCUUGGAAGUUGUAGCAGGCUCCAGUGGCACUUGUCCAACAGCCACCACCCAUCCUCGCUCUGGCGGUGCUCAUCCAGCGCUUGCCGCUCAUCCUCACUGCGAUGGUGGUAGUCCAGCGGCCACGACCCAAUCCUAGUCCGGGGGUGCUAAUCCAGUGGCUGCCACCCCACCCUUCUCUGGCCGCGUUCAUUCAAGGGCCGCCACCUGUCCUUGCACUGGUGGUGCUAAUCCAGUACCACCUGACCCUAUUGCCUAACUCCUGCCAUUGUUUUGCCAUCAUGGCCAUCCGCCUGAAUGACCCUGUGGAAACUCUGGUGCUAUGCAUCCUGGCCGACCUCUUGAUUGCCCAACCAAGCCCCUGAUGUCUGGUGGCCUGGACAACCAGACCGACCCUGAGGGCCAGACACUUGAGUUUAUUUUCGGGGGGGGAGGGCAGGGGAGGGUUUGGAAUUGCAUUGUGGGUAAAAUUAUUUGAGUUAAAAGCAUUAUCACAGAAUGCAUUAAACUUGUACGUUAAGGUAUUGUGCCAGCAAUCGGGAAGUAGGCAAGCACCUUCAAUAGAUCUUGGGAGCUAUGUUUAGUCCCAUCCUGACUCAAAGGCUUCACCGUCAUCCGAGUCCCCAAGAAACCUCCAAUUUUAAGACAGACUUGUGGCCUCUCACCCUGACAUCUGCAGCCAUGAAGUCCUUUGAAUGCCUCAUGCUGGACCAACUCAAGGACACCUGCUGGACCUCCUGAAGUUAACCUAUUGCUUGAGGACACAGCAUCAUUUACAUAAUACCAUUAUAUCAACAGAAUCACCCCGCUGGUAGUAGACUUUCAUUGUUCAAUGAUUGUCCAUAUUGGUGUUUUUUAUGUCCUAAAUAUACAGUAUAUUUUGUCAUAGUGUCUGUUUGUUGUCAUAGUAGAGUGGCUCAAACUACCAGAGACAAAUUCAUUGUGUCUUGUAAAACACUUGGCGAAUGAAGCUGGAACUAAUUCUGAUCAUUUCUAUGUUCUGGCCUUCCAAAGCUGAGUCAAGGAACUAACUAAAAUGAGGUAAUUUCAGCAAGACAAGAAAGUGUCAUUGGAUAUAAAUCUUGAUCUCUGCAAUAUUUGUGGCUGGAUGAGACUGGAUACCAUGGUGGCUGACGGGUUAGCACAAUUAGAGUUAGGUCCAGAUCUGCCUUUAACCAGUGUGGAAUGAUUAGGUUUACUAAACAUCCAUCCAUCUAUCCAUUUUCUUAGACGCUUAUCCUCACGAUGAUUGAUCCGAUAUGAUCAUUAUGAGGUUCAGAUAAUGGACGGAUGGUUUAGAGUGCCUCAUUGUUGGCCUUGAGUGUGCACACGUCACACGCCACACAGACAAAGGCAGAACACCAAGGAUUUUGAAGCCUCAUUUUAAAGGUGCAUCUAAAAAAUUUAAAAUGCUACCAGAGAAUUCAUUGAGGACUACAGUUCCAAAAGUGAAAAGCAUAAAUCAUAAAUUCAACACAGAAUAGUUCUUGGAAGACCACAAUUCCAACCUAAUUUCCAUAUUGAAAUCUUUUUGACCUAUGUCACAUUCUAAUUUCUUGGAGAUGGUGAAAUAUGGGUUUUUGUUAGCUGUAAGCUCAAAUGACCAAAGUAAUAGCAAAUAAAAAAGUGAACCAGUGAAUGUUUGAGUUUUUAAAUGAAACAACAGCGAUACAUGAAACUUUGUAAACAUAACACAAAGAAAUAUGGAAGUCAGGAAGCAAUCUCUGUGGUGUGUCCAAUUUAGAAGACAUUUAUAGACCCUUUCCAAAAUAUUACAAUAUUUUAUUCAAGUAUUCAAAUUUUUUGA